RNAcentral lists this ribosomal RNA (452 nucleotides) under Brucella sp. RNAcentral's name for it is "bacterial SSU rRNA". It matches the Rfam family "Bacterial small subunit ribosomal RNA", at positions 338 to 795 of the family's 1533-position model. Lineage: Bacteria; Pseudomonadati; Pseudomonadota; Alphaproteobacteria; Hyphomicrobiales; Brucellaceae. The record is from RNAcentral.
CCUACGGGUGGCAGCAGUGGGGAAUAUUGGACAAUGGGCGCAAGCCUGAUCCAGCCAUGCCGCGUGAGUGAUGAAGGCCCUAGGGUUGUAAAGCUCUUUCACCGGUGAAGAUAAUGACGGUAACCGGAGAAGAAGCCCCGGCUAACUUCGUGCCAGCAGCCGCGGUAAUACGAAGGGGGACUAGCGCUGUUCGGAUUUACUGGGCGUAAAGCGCACGUAGGCGGACUUUUAAGUCAGGGGUGAAAUCCCGGGGCUACAAACCCCGGAAACAUGCCUUUAGAUACUGAGAAAGUACUUGAGUAUGGUAGAGGUGAGUGGAAUUCCGAGUGUAGAGGUGAAAUUCGUAGAUAUUACGGAGGAACACCAGUGGCGAAGGCGGCUCACUGGACCAUUACUGACGCUGAGGUGCAGAAAAGCGUGGGGAGCAAACAGGAUUAGAUACCCUAGUAGUC